GACGAACGCUGGCGGCGUGCUUAACACAUGCAAGUCGAACGGAAAGGCCCUGCUUUUGUGGGGUGCUCGAGUGGCGAACGGGUGAGUAACACGUGAGUAACCUGCCCUUGACUUUGGGAUAACUUCAGGAAACUGGGGCUAAUACCGGAUAGGAGCUCCUGCUGCAUGGUGGGGGGUGGAAAGUUUCGGCGGGUGGGGAUGGACUCGCGGCUUAUCAGCUUGUUGGUUGGGUAGUGGCUUACCAAGGCUUUGACGGGUAGCCGGCCGGAGAGGGUGACCGGCCACAUUGGGCCUGAGAUACGGCCCAGACUCCUACGGGAGGCAGCAGUGGGGAAUAUUGCACAAUGGGCGGAAGCCUGAUGCAGCAACGCCGCGUGCGGGAUGACGGCCUUCGGGUUGUAAACCGCUUUCGCCUGUGACGAAGCGUGAGUGACGGUAAUGGGUAAAGAAGCACCGGCUAACUACGUG
Molecule: ribosomal RNA, 468 nt
Filed under: uncultured bacterium
Lineage: Bacteria
Description: partial 16S ribosomal RNA
Rfam family: Bacterial small subunit ribosomal RNA
Source: RNAcentral